AAUGAACGCUGGCGGCGUGCCUAACACAUGCAAGUCGAACGAACACACGAUGAGCUCGCUCCUUUACCGUUAGCGACGGACGGGCGAGUAACAAGUGGAUAACAUUCCUCUAUGACUUGGAUAAUUACGGAAAACAACUGCCACUACCACCUCAUAUAUUCUACCGGUUGGAUCAAUAGAUCUUGAGAGCUUUCCUGUCUCUUUUAGAUGGAUCCGCGCCGCAUUGUCUAGUUGGUAAGGUACCGGCUUACCAAGGAUACGAAGCGUAGCUGACCUGAGAGGGUGAUCGGCCACACUGGAACUGAGACACGGUCCAGACUCCUACGGGAGGCAGCAGUAGGGAAUCUUGCGCAAUGGGCGAAAGCCUGACGGAGCAACGCCGCGUGAGUGAAGAAGGUCUUCGGGUCGUAAAACUCUGUUAUUAGGGAAGAACAAAUGUGUAAUUAACUAUGCACGUCUUGACGGUACCUAAUCAGAAAGCCACGGCUAACUACGUG
This 497-nucleotide ribosomal RNA is filed under the name uncultured bacterium. RNAcentral describes it as "partial 16S ribosomal RNA". It matches the Rfam family "Bacterial small subunit ribosomal RNA", at positions 29 to 507 of the family's 1533-position model. The record is from RNAcentral.